GAAACGGACGCCGUUCUCUCCCGCGGAAUUCAGGUUUACGGCCCUGCGGGUUCUCAGAGAAUUUCUAGAAUUUGGAAUCGAGUGCAUUUUCUGACAUUUGAGUACAGGACCCAGGGGUUCUUGGAGAAGAACCUGGUCCCAGAGGAGCUUGACUGACCAUAAAAAUGAGUACUGCAGAUGCACUUGAUGAUGAAAACACAUUUAAAAUAUUAGUUGCAACAGAUAUUCAUCUUGGAUUUAUGGAGAAAGAUCCAGUCAGAGGAAAUGAUACGUUUGUAACACUCGAUGAAAUUUUAAGACUUGCCCAGGAAAAUGAAGUGGAUUUUAUUUUGUUAGGUGGUGAUCUUUUUCAUGAAAAUAAGCCCUCAAGGAAAACAUUACAUACCUGCCUCGAGUUAUUAAGAAAAUAUUGUAUGGGUGAUCGGCCUGUCCAGUUUGAAAUUCUCAGUGAUCAGUCAGUCAACUUUGGUUUUAGUAAGCAGAUGCACUUUGUGCCUUGGACAUUUUAAGUUGUGCUGGAUUUGUAAAUCACUUUGGACGUUCAAUGUCUGUGGAGAAGAUAGACAUUAGUCCGGUUUUGCUUCAAAAAGGAGG
Molecule: small RNA, 594 nt
Filed under: Pan troglodytes (chimpanzee)
Lineage: Eukaryota; Metazoa; Chordata; Mammalia; Primates; Hominidae
Description: processed transcript
Source: RNAcentral